Molecule: ribosomal RNA, 500 nt
Filed under: uncultured Glomeromycotina
Lineage: Eukaryota; Fungi; Glomeromycota
Description: partial small subunit ribosomal RNA
Rfam family: Eukaryotic small subunit ribosomal RNA
Source: RNAcentral
CCAAUAGCGUAUAUUAAAGUUGUUGCAGUUAAAAAGCUCGUAGUUGAAUUUCGGGGUUAGUAGGUUGGUCAUGCCUCUGGUAUGUACUGGUCUCACUGAUUCCUCCUUCCUGAUGAACCGUAAUGCCAUUAAUUUGGUGUUGCGGGGAAUUUGGACUGUUACUUUGAAAAAAUUAGAGUGUUUAAAGCAGGCUAACGCUUGAAUACAUUAGCAUGGAAUAAUGAAAUAGGACGUUCGAUCCUAUUUUGUUGGUUUCUAGGAUUGACGUAAUGAUUAAUAGGGAUAGUUGGGGGCAUUAGUAUUCAAUUGUCAGAGGUGAAAUUCUUGGAUUUAUUGAAGACUAACUACUGCGAAAGCAUUUGCCAAGGAUGUUUUCAUUAAUCAAGAACGAAAGUUAGGGGAUCGAAGACGAUCAGAUACCGUCGUAGUCUUAACCAUAAACUAUGCCGACUAGGGAUCGGAUGAUGUUAAUUUUUUAAUGACUCAUUCGGCGCCUUACG